This 85-nucleotide transfer RNA is filed under the name Escherichia coli. Its description in RNAcentral is "tRNA-Leu". Lineage: Bacteria; Pseudomonadati; Pseudomonadota; Gammaproteobacteria; Enterobacterales; Enterobacteriaceae. The record is from RNAcentral.
GAUGAAUACCUGCAAAAUCUGGUGCCGUUUAAAGAGGGCGAUGAGUACGAAUCGAAAGAUCUGGCGGAACUGAACCGCCGACUUU